CCUACGGGAGGCAGCAGUGGGGAAUAUUGGACAAUGGGGGCAACCCUGAUCCAGCCAUGCCGCGUGUGUGAAGAAGGCCCUCGGGUUGUAAAGCACUUUCAGUGAGGAAGAACGCCUGGUGGUUAAUACCCAGCAGGAAAGACAUCACUCACAGAAGAAGCACCGGCUAACUCCGUGCCAGCAGCCGCGGUAAUACGGAGGGUGCGAGCGUUAAUCGGAAUUACUGGGCGUAAAGCGCGCGUAGGUGGCUUGAUAAGCCGGUUGUGAAAGCCCCGGGCUCAACCUGGGAACGGCAUCCGGAACUGUCAAGCUAGAGUGCAGGAGAGGAAGGUAGAAUUCCCGGUGUAGCGGUGAAAUGCGUAGAGAUCGGGAGGAAUACCAGUGGCGAAGGCGGCCUUCUGGACUGACACUGACACUGAGGUGCGAAAGCGUGGGUAGCAAACAGGAUUAGAUACCCCUGUAGUC
This 465-nucleotide ribosomal RNA is filed under the name Vreelandella stevensii. RNAcentral describes it as "partial 16S ribosomal RNA". It matches the Rfam family "Bacterial small subunit ribosomal RNA", at positions 338 to 795 of the family's 1533-position model. Lineage: Bacteria; Pseudomonadati; Pseudomonadota; Gammaproteobacteria; Oceanospirillales; Halomonadaceae. The record is from RNAcentral.